This 80-nucleotide transfer RNA is filed under the name Phytophthora infestans (potato late blight agent). RNAcentral's name for it is "tRNA-Ser". It matches the Rfam family "tRNA". From Rfam's summary of the family: Transfer RNA (tRNA) molecules are approximately 80 nucleotides in length. The record is from RNAcentral. Lineage: Eukaryota; Oomycota; Peronosporomycetes; Peronosporales; Peronosporaceae.
GACAGCUUGGCCGAGUGGUUAAGGCGAUAGACUAGAAAUCUAUUGGGGCAACCCGAUGAGUUCAAAUCUCACAGCUGUCG